GAUGAACGCUGGCGGCGUGCUUAACACAUGCAAGUCGAACGAUGAAGCCCAGCUUGCUGGGUGGAUUAGUGGCGAACGGGUGAGUAACACGUGAGUAACCUGCCCUUAACUCUGGGAUAAGCCUGGGAAACUGGGUCUAAUACCGGAUAGGAGCGCCUACCGCAUGGUGGGUGUUGGAAAGAUUUAUCGGUUUUGGAUGGACUCGCGGCCUAUCAGCUUGUUGGUGAGGUAAUGGCUCACCAAGGCGACGACGGGUAGCCGGCCUGAGAGGGUGUCCGGCCACACUGGGACUGAGACACGGCCCAGACUCCUACGGGAGGCAGCAGUGGGGAAUAUUGCACAAUGGGCGAAAGCCUGAUGCAGCGACGCCGCGUGAGGGAUGACGGCCUUCGGGUUGUAAACCUCUUUCAGUAGGGAAGAAGCGAAAGUGACGGUACCUGCAGAAGAAGCACCGGCUAACUACGUG
This 466-nucleotide ribosomal RNA is filed under the name uncultured bacterium. Its description in RNAcentral is "partial 16S ribosomal RNA". It matches the Rfam family "Bacterial small subunit ribosomal RNA", at positions 28 to 507 of the family's 1533-position model. The record is from RNAcentral.